Molecule: transfer RNA, 75 nt
Filed under: Candidatus Cloacimonadota bacterium
Lineage: Bacteria; Pseudomonadati; Candidatus Cloacimonadota
Description: tRNA-His
Rfam family: tRNA
About the family: Transfer RNA (tRNA) molecules are approximately 80 nucleotides in length.
Source: RNAcentral
GUGGCGUUAGUGUAGAGGUUCGCACGAAAGUCUGUGGAACUUUCAGUAUGGGUUCGAUCCCCAUACGCCACCCCA